GACGAACGCUGGCGGCGUGCCUAAUACAUGCAAGUAGAACGCACAGUUUAUACCGUAGCUUGCUACACCAUAAACUGUGAGUUGCGAACGGGUGAGUAACGCGUAGGUAACCUGCCUGGUAGCGGGGGAUAACUAUUGGAAACGAUAGCUAAUACCGCAUAAUAUUAAUUAUUGCAUGAUAAUUGAUUGAAAGAUGCAAUUGCAUCACUACCAGAUGGACCUGCGUUGUAUUAGCUAGUAGGUGAGGUAACGGCUCACCUAGGCGACGAUACAUAGCCGACCUGAGAGGGUGAUCGGCCACACUGGGACUGAGACACGGCCCAGACGCCUACGGGAGGCAGCAGUAGGGAAUCUUCGGCAAUGGACGAAAGUCUGACCGAGCAACGCCGCGUGAGUGAAGAAGGUUUUCGGAUCGUAAAGCUCUGUUGUAAGAGAAGAACGGGUGUGAGAGUGGAAAGUUCACACUGUGACGGUAUCUUACCAGAAAGGGACGGCUAACUACGUG
Molecule: ribosomal RNA, 505 nt
Filed under: uncultured bacterium
Lineage: Bacteria
Description: partial 16S ribosomal RNA
Rfam family: Bacterial small subunit ribosomal RNA
Source: RNAcentral